AAAGAGAGUGUUACCAUUUUCUUAAAUUCUCUGCACAUAAAAUAGAUUGAUAAAUAAAUAAAAAAUCAAGAAAAUAAUAAGAAGGACAUAUAAAAUAUUGGGAUAUUACAUUGUUAACACCUUAUAAUAGUUUCAUCCGCAAAACUAGAAAUUCGAAAAGAUAUUUAAGAUAGAGUUCCGUUUCUAAAUAAAAUUAUAGGGUAAGGGAAUCACUUUCUAAAAGAUAAAGUUAAAGUAUUUUGACACAUAAAUAAAAUAGUUAUUUAUAUUUUAAAAUAAAAUUUUUGGGUCUUACAUUCAACCCACCAAUAAUUUAGUUUCCUCCCGGAAGUUAGACAAUAAAAAAAGAUUUUAGGUAGAUUUUUCAAAAGCUCUUUAUGUAAAAUAUUCCUUUAAAUAAAUAUGAACAAGUAAUUUUAAUAAUGAAUUAAAAAGUCAUGUUUCUGCUGCGCACUUUAAUGUCAAGAUACAUCAUUCAAAUUGAACAAUUCUCAUAAAAAUUAUUUUCAAAAUGCAACAUUAGAAGAAUAAAGAGUCUUUUUCAAAUAUAUAAUAAUACAUAAUUAAAAAUAAAGCAACAGGAAGUCAGUAACAAUGUUUUUGUCUUUUCAAGCAACAGGAAAAAUAAUUUGUGACAGUCUCCAGAAAACAAAAUACGUACAUAUAUGGAACUGGAUUUAUUUAUUAAGCUAACUUUAUUAAUUAAUAACCAUGCAGUUAUGUUGUUGUUUACUAUAUCCUCUCUGAGCGAAGAAAGAUAAAAUUACUUGCAUAAUAUAAUACUACAUAAUACAAAAUUAUGAAUCCUUUGCAUAAUACAAAUUUUGAAAUAAAUUAUUAAGUGCACAAACAUUAUGACAUCACAUAAAAUUAUAUUAUAAAAGGUUCAAUUUAAUUAAUUAACUCACAAAAAUUUUCUUUGCAUAACCAAGCAUAACGGUUUCCUGAUGGUGGACAAUCCCCUAUAUAUUUGCAGGGGAUAUUAGCUGCAUUGUCAAAUAAGAAAAAAGGAACGUCAUUAAAAAAUUUAUACUAUUGUGUAUAAGAUAAAUUUGAAAAUUGUAUAAAAAAUGACAUACUUUUCUUAUAAGCAAAGGAUUCAACAAGAAAUGUAAAAAAAAAAAUGAUCAAAGCAUAAAUAAACAUGUCGAUUUUAGUUGUACUUUUCUUAUUUUGUAUUUC
RNAcentral lists this long non-coding RNA (1182 nucleotides) under Trifolium pratense (red clover). RNAcentral's name for it is "long non-coding RNA (TPRA_LNC012402)". The record is from RNAcentral. Lineage: Eukaryota; Viridiplantae; Streptophyta; Magnoliopsida; Fabales; Fabaceae.